This 264-nucleotide ribosomal RNA is filed under the name uncultured bacterium. RNAcentral describes it as "partial 16S ribosomal RNA". It matches the Rfam family "Bacterial small subunit ribosomal RNA", at positions 793 to 1055 of the family's 1533-position model. The record is from RNAcentral.
GUCCACGCCCUAAACGAUGUCGACUGGUUGUUGGGGGUUUCACACUCUCAGUAACGAAGCUAACGCGUGAAGUCGACCGCCUGGGGAGUACGGCCGCAAGGUUAAAACUCAAAGGAAUUGACGGGGACCCGCACAAGCGGUGGAUUAUGUGGAUUAAUUCGAUGCAACGCGAAAACCUUACCUACCCUUGACAUGUCCUGGAGCCUGAAGAGAUUCGGGUGUGCCCGAAAGGGAACGGGAACACAGGUGCUGCAUGGCUGUCGU